GAUGAACGCUGGCGGCGUGCCUAAUACAUGCAAGUCGAGCGAACAGACGAGGAGCUUGCUCCUCUGACGUUAGCGGCGGACGGGUGAGUAAUACGUGGAUAACCUACCUAUAAGACUGGGAUAAUUUCGGGAAACCGGAGCUAAUACCGGAUAAUAUAUUGAACCGCAUGGUUCAAUAGUGAAAGACGGUUUUGCUGUCACUUAUAGGUGGAUCCGCGCCGCAUUAGCUAGUUGGUAAGGUAACGGCUUACCAAGGCAACGAUGCGUAGCCGACCUGAGAGGGUGAUCGGCCACACUGGAACUGAGACACGGUCCAGACUCCUACGGGAGGCAGCAGUAGGGAAUCUUCCGCAAUGGGCGAAAGCCUGACGGAGCAACGCCGCGUGAGUGAUGAAGGUCUUCGGAUCGUAAAACUCUGUUAUUAGGGAAGAACAAAUGUGUAAGUAACUAUGCACGUCUUGACGGUACCUAAUCAGAAAGCCGCGGCUAACUACGUG
RNAcentral lists this ribosomal RNA (497 nucleotides) under uncultured bacterium. Its description in RNAcentral is "partial 16S ribosomal RNA". It matches the Rfam family "Bacterial small subunit ribosomal RNA", at positions 28 to 507 of the family's 1533-position model. The record is from RNAcentral.